UACGGGGGGGGCAAGCGUUGUUCGGAAUUACUGGGCGUAAAGGGCUCGUAGGCGGCCAACUAAGUCAGACGUGAAAUCCCCAGGCUCAACCCAGGAACUGCGUCCGAUACUGGAAGGCCUGAAUCCGGGAGAGGGAUGCGGAAUUCCAGGUGUAGCGGUGAAAUGCGUAGAUAUCAGGAAGAACACCCGUGGCGAAGGCGGCUCUCUGGGACGGUACUGACGCUGAGACGCGAAAGCGUGGGGAGCGAACAGG
RNAcentral lists this ribosomal RNA (253 nucleotides) under uncultured bacterium. RNAcentral's name for it is "partial 16S ribosomal RNA". It matches the Rfam family "Bacterial small subunit ribosomal RNA", at positions 524 to 776 of the family's 1533-position model. The record is from RNAcentral.